UACAGAGGGGGCAAGCGUUGUUCGGAAUUACUGGGCGUAAAGGGCGCGUAGGCGGCCUGUUAAGUCGAACGUGAAAUCCCCGGGCUCAACCCGGGAACUGCGUCCGAUACUGGCAGGCUCGAAUCCGGGAGAGGGAUGUGGAAUUCCAGGUGUAGCGGUGAAAUGCGUAGAUAUCUGGAGGAACACCGGUGGCGAAGGCGGCAUCCUGGACCGGUAUUGACGCUGAGGCGCGAAAGCCAGGGGAGCAAACGGG
Molecule: ribosomal RNA, 253 nt
Filed under: uncultured bacterium
Lineage: Bacteria
Description: partial 16S ribosomal RNA
Rfam family: Bacterial small subunit ribosomal RNA
Source: RNAcentral